ACCUACUGACUUUGAGCCUUAGACGCA
RNAcentral lists this non-coding RNA (27 nucleotides) under Cricetulus griseus (Chinese hamster). Lineage: Eukaryota; Metazoa; Chordata; Mammalia; Rodentia; Cricetidae. The record is from RNAcentral.